Molecule: ribosomal RNA, 473 nt
Filed under: uncultured organism
Description: partial 16S ribosomal RNA
Rfam family: Bacterial small subunit ribosomal RNA
Source: RNAcentral
ACUCCUACGGGAGGCAGCAGUGGGGAAUAUUGCACAAUGGGCGCAAGCCUGAUGCAGCCAUGCCGCGUGUGUGAAGAAGGCCUUCGGGUUGUAAAGCACUUUCAGCGGGGAGGAAGGCGAUACGGUUAAUAACCGUGUUGAUUGACGUUACCCGCAGAAGAAGCACCGGCUAACUCCGUGCCAGCAGCCGCGGUAAUACGGAGGGUGCAAGCGUUAAUCGGAAUUACUGGGCGUAAAGCGCACGCAGGCGGUCUGUCAAGUCGGAUGUGAAAUCCCCGGGCUCAACCUGGGAACUGCAUUCGAAACUGGCAGGCUUGAGUCUUGUAGAGGGGGGUAGAAUUCCAGGUGUAGCGGUGAAAUGCGUAGAGAUCUGGAGGAAUACCGGUGGCGAAGGCGGCCCCCUGGACAAAGACUGACGCUCAGGUGCGAAAGCGUGGGGAGCAAACAGGAUUAGAUACCCGAGUAGUCCCAUG